Molecule: long non-coding RNA, 516 nt
Organism: Calidris pugnax (ruff)
Lineage: Eukaryota; Metazoa; Chordata; Aves; Charadriiformes; Scolopacidae
Exons: 3
Source: RefSeq, a predicted model, not a curated record
GCCUCAGCCAGUGCCGCCUUCGCAAGCGCUUGUUUCAAAACUCCUCCUCAGAAGGCGCGUUAUUGUAGGAAACUUUUGCUUCGAGACCGGAACGUCCCGAGGCAAAGAUGACACCCCAUAAUAAAUCUGAGUGUCUUCAUCAGCUGCUGCCAGGCUACACCCAGACAAGCCAUCUGCCACCCAGGAAACUACAUACUGACGUACAUGGAAGCUUAUCAGACUGUUUUGGCAGACCCUCCAGUUUAACCAAGCGCCGUACUGCCAGACGCCAUGUUUAUCACCAGCAUCUCCAUCACCAGCACACCCAUCAGGCUAUAAGUCCAAAAGGAGUCAGCCUCAUCUGUACAUUAUAAAUAGCAGCAUCAAAACUCCCUGAUGCCUUGUGGAGCAGUCUGGCAGCCACCGCUGUGCCCAGCCCAGCACGUCGGAGGCCAGGAGGGCUAUGUUAUAGAAUCACAGGAUGGUUAGAGUUGGAAGGUGCCUUAAAGAUCACCUAGUUCCAACCCCAUGGGCAGG